This 240-nucleotide unclassified non-coding RNA is filed under the name soil metagenome. Its description in RNAcentral is "partial contains 5.8S ribosomal RNA, internal transcribed spacer 2, and large subunit ribosomal RNA". The record is from RNAcentral.
AACCUUAUGGACCUGCGGGCGUAUACCUGCGGAAGGAUCAUUACAACAAGGUUCCCUGGCCCUCGAAGCUUCGGCGGAGGGGCGCUACAGCCUGACUUUAUACCCACCCUUUGCCUAUGUGUACCCCUAUUGCUUCCCUCGGCGGGCUCGCCCGCCGACAGGAACCAACUAAACCCUUUGCAUUAUACAUUUAACACUUCCGAUGCAAAACCAAAUUAUUACAACUUUUAACAACGGAUC